AUACGUAGGGAGCAAGCGUUGUCCGGAUUUACUGGGUGUAAAGGGUGCGUAGGCGGCUUUACAAGUCAGGCGUGAAAUAUAUGGGCUUAACCCAUAGACUGCGUUUGAAACUGUAGAGCUUGAGUGAAGUAGAGGUAGGCGGAAUUCCCGGUGUAGCGGUGAAAUGCGUAGAGAUCGGGAGGAACACCAGUGGCGAAGGCGGCCUACUGGGCUUUAACUGACGCUGAGGCACGAAAGCAUGGGUAGCAAACAGGAUUAGAUACCCUGGUAGUCCAUGCCGUAAACGAUGAUUACUAGGUGUGGGGGGUCUGACCCCUUCCGUGCCGGAGUUAACGCAAUAAGUACCCCGCCUGGGGAGUACGAUCGCAAGGUUGAA
RNAcentral lists this ribosomal RNA (376 nucleotides) under uncultured bacterium. RNAcentral describes it as "bacterial SSU rRNA". It matches the Rfam family "Bacterial small subunit ribosomal RNA", at positions 523 to 898 of the family's 1533-position model. The record is from RNAcentral.